RNAcentral lists this ribosomal RNA (16 nucleotides) under Suillus paluster. Its description in RNAcentral is "partial 28S ribosomal RNA". RNAcentral also lists the same sequence under 1 other name. The record is from RNAcentral. Lineage: Eukaryota; Fungi; Basidiomycota; Agaricomycetes; Boletales; Suillaceae.
UGACCUCAAAUCAGUA